GCAUCGAUGAAGAACGCAGCGAAAUGCGAUAAUUAAUGUGAAUUGCAGAAUUCAGUGAAUCAUCGAGUCUUUGAACGCACAUUGCGCCCCCUGGUAUUCCGGGGGGCAUGCCUGUCCGAGCGUCAUUGCUGCCCUCAAGCACGGCUUGUGUGUUGGGCUUCCGUCCCUGGUAACGGGGACGGGCCCAAAAGGCAGUGGCGGCACCAUGUCUGGUCCUCGAGCGUAUGGGGCUUUGUCACCCGCUCCCGUAGGUCCAGCUGGCAGCUAGCCUCGCAACCAAUCUUUUUAACCAGGUUGACCUCGGAUCAGGUAGGGAUACCCGCUCAACUUAAGCAUAUCAAUAAGCGGAGGA
RNAcentral lists this ribosomal RNA (352 nucleotides) under uncultured fungus. RNAcentral describes it as "eukaryotic LSU rRNA". The stretch from base 1 to 125 matches the Rfam family "5.8S ribosomal RNA", at positions 30 to 154 of the family's 154-position model. The record is from RNAcentral. Lineage: Eukaryota; Fungi.